Cydia amplana is the source of this 1417-nucleotide RNA transcript. It is a transcript of the gene named serine-threonine kinase receptor-associated protein, with no coding region annotated. The transcript is spliced from 8 exons. NCBI's taxonomy places the organism in Eukaryota, Metazoa, Arthropoda, Insecta, Lepidoptera, Tortricidae. The record is from RefSeq and is a predicted model, not a curated record.
ACUGCGUUGCACUUUUCCGUCAGUCGGUUGUCAACAUUCAGUUCGAUCAGACUCAUUAGGUUAAUUUUAGUUAACAAAGAUAUUAGUUUUAUUUUCCAAAAGUACAACAAACAAAAUUAAUUAAAAUGACAACAUUUAAGCAAGUUCCUCUUACAUGUGGUGGCCAUACUAGACCAGUGGUGCAUUUGGACUUUAGUGACGUUACCAAGGAUGGGUAUUACCUGAUUUCUGCCUGCAAAGAUGGCAAGCCCAUGUUGCGGCAAGGUGAGACAGGCGACUGGAUUGGCACCUUCGAGGGGCACAAAGGGGCCGUGUGGGGCGUAGCCCUGACUCAAAACGCCAGCUUGGCGGCCAGUGGCGCUGCUGACUUCUCAGCGAAACUCUGGGACGCGCGUUACGGCGAAGUGGUUCACACGUUCGACCACGACCACAUAGUGAAGAGCGUGAACUUUAAUGCUGACGACUCUCUUCUUCUUACUGCGAGUAAUGAGAAACUCAUCCGGGUGUUCGACCUGAACAAGCCUGAAGCUGGCCCCGUGGAAAAAUUUAGUGCCCACGCCAGCAGUAUCCGCCACGCGGUGUUCCUCCACAACUCUCGCAUCGCGAGCGUUAGCGACGACCUCACUAUGCGCGUGUGGGACAGGACGUCUGGCCAGGACGUGAACAAAAUCGAGUUUACCUCAAUUCCAAAUAGUUUAGAACUGUCAAGGGAUGGCGCGAUUUUGACAGUAGCACACGGUACCAACGUGUCAUUCUACUCAACGGACACGAUGCGCAAGAUGCGCGAAGUGGCCGUCCCGACCAAGUGCUACUCCGCCUCGCUGGCCCCCUCGCGGGCCACCUUCGUGUGCGGCGGCGAGGACCUCAAGGUCUACAAGUUCGACUACAACACCGGCACCGAGCUAGGUACUGUAGUAUAUACCAACAGGUACCAACGUGUCCUACUCAACGGACACGAUGCGCAAGAUGCGCGAAGUGGCCGUCCCGACCAAGUGCUACUCCGCCUCGCUGGCCCCCUCGCGGGCCACCUUCGUGUGCGGCGGCGAGGACCUCAAGGUCUACAAGUUCGACUACAACACCGGCACCGAGCUAGGUACUGUAGUAUAUACCAACAGGUACCAACGUGUCCUACUCAACGGACACGAUGCGCAAGAUGCGCGAAGUGGCCGUCCCGACCAAGUGCUACUCCGCCUCGCUGGCCCCCUCGCGGGCCACCUUCGUGUGCGGCGGCGAGGACCUCAAGGUCUACAAGUUCGACUACAACACGGGCACCGAGCUAGAAUGCAACAAAGGACAUUUCGGUCCGGUGCACUGCGUGCGGUGGUCGCCAGACGGCGAGUUGUACGCCACCGGAUCCGAGGACGGCACCGUGCGACUGUGGCAGGGCGUGCCCGGGCGCGUGUACGGGCUGUGGCGG